GAUGAAGAACGCAGCGAAAUGCGAUACGUAAUGUGAAUUGCAGAAUUCAGUGAAUCAUCGAAUCUUUGAACGCACAUUGCGCCCGCUGGUACUCCGGCGGGCACGCCUGUCCGAGCGUCAUUUCAACCCUCAAGCCCUCCUUCGGGAUGGGCCUGGUGUUGGGGCUCGGCCGCCAUCUCCGGCGGCCGUCCCCUAAAUACAGUGGCGGUCACGUCGCGACUCCUUUGCGUAGUAGAAACACCUCGCUCCGGAUAGCAACGCGGUCCACGCCGUAAAACCCCCAAUUUUCAAUGGUUGACCUCGGAUCAGGUGGGAAUACCCGCUGAACUUAAGCAUAUCAAUAAGCGGAGGA
This 352-nucleotide unclassified non-coding RNA is filed under the name soil metagenome. Its description in RNAcentral is "partial contains 5.8S ribosomal RNA, internal transcribed spacer 2, and large subunit ribosomal RNA". The stretch from base 1 to 120 matches the Rfam family "5.8S ribosomal RNA", at positions 35 to 154 of the family's 154-position model. The record is from RNAcentral.